GGGGCUGUUAUUGGUUUCGACGGAAGGCAUGAGGCUCUAGCGGCAAGUGGAAGGUACUCCUUACGUACAAACAAAAAUAAAUAACAAAACAAAUAAUUAUGCUUACGCACCAGCUUUUGCUGCUGCUUAGUUUAAUAUAACGGUAAGCGCUUCUUUCUAAGUUUUACUCACGGACUUUUAAAGAGGUUCAUCUUUAGUGAGUUAUAUUAUUCUUUUUGUUUAGGAAAGAAUAACGAAUAUUACUAAACUCGUUAUUUGGUGGGUAUGUUAGUUACCUUUAUCAUUUAAUUAAAUCAUAAUUACUAACUAAACUUGUAGAUGCUAUUGUGGAAUGUUUUUCGGACGCGAGUUCGACUCUCGUCAGCUCCACCA
Molecule: transfer-messenger RNA, 372 nt
Filed under: Bacilli
Lineage: Bacteria; Bacillati; Bacillota
Also listed under: 1 other name
Description: Aphodocola sp900766325 Standard tmRNA
Rfam family: transfer-messenger RNA
About the family: Bacterial tmRNA, also known as 10Sa RNA or SsrA, is named for its dual tRNA and mRNA-like properties. Its role is to liberate the mRNA from a stalled ribosome.
Source: RNAcentral